AAUAAUCAGAAAUUGUCUAAAUAUAUUGUAAGGCAGUAAGGGAGCCUGAGGCAUCCAAAUGUCUGAUCCUUGUCUCUGCAUUCUUUUUUUUUUUUUUUUUGCCCGAGAAUCCUGCCGUUGGUGAGCCAAAUUCCCUUAGGAAGAGAGAGCUUGUCUGGUGUGUUUCCUGUCAAGCAGCUGUGUGGGUGUUGGCUCAGCUCCCACAGAGCUCUCCUGGGAUCAGGAUUUCUCCUUUCCUAGCUGGUUCCUACUGCUAGGGGAGGAGAGGCUGGGAGGGGAGGACUGGGCUGUCUCCUGCUUCAGCCAACAAGAAGGAGUCUCCUCCAGGCUGGAGUGCAGUGGCGUGAUCUUGGCUCACUGCCACUUCCACCUCCCGGGUUCAAGUGAUUCUCCUGCCUCACCUUGCUGAGUAGCUGAAACUACAGGUAAUGCACUACACAAGCAGGCAGUUCUUAGAAUCAACACGUGAACAUUUGUGUGUAGGUUUCUGUGAAAUGGUACUUGGAAACUCUUUGUGACCAGCCUACUCAACACGUAGUUGAAGGAAACAG
Molecule: long non-coding RNA, 551 nt
Filed under: Callithrix jacchus (white-tufted-ear marmoset)
Lineage: Eukaryota; Metazoa; Chordata; Mammalia; Primates; Cebidae
Description: lncRNA (ENSCJAG00000072871.1)
Source: RNAcentral